RNAcentral lists this ribosomal RNA (111 nucleotides) under Macaca nemestrina (pig-tailed macaque). Lineage: Eukaryota; Metazoa; Chordata; Mammalia; Primates; Cercopithecidae. The record is from RNAcentral.
ACAGUCAUCCACACCACCCUGAACAGUACCCGAUCUUGUCUGAUCUCAGAAGCUAAGCAGGUUCAAUUCUGUUGGUACCUGGAUGGGAAGGAAGCCUGAGGGUUGGAUUUA